UUACUGAGUAAUUGCCCGGCAUUUUUUCCUGAAGAGGAAAGGUGGCGUGGUGUUACCCGACCUUUUGUCAUGAGCUGGCCGAAGCGGGGGAGCGAGUCUUCUUUUGGGAGACGGACUCUUGCGUGAACGGCGCGUACAUUUCGGCGGAAGAGGUGGUCUUUGAGCUGCCCGCCGCCGGUGGUAUUUUCCAACUCUUUUGUGAAUUGUGAAGUCUGAAGCAAAACAUGAAAACGAAAAGCAAAACUUUCAACAACGGAUCUCUUGGCUCUGGCAACGAUGAAGAACGCAGCGAAACGCGAAAGGUAAUGCGAAUUGCAGAAUCAGUGAGUCAUCGAAUCUUUGAACGCACAUUGCGCCUCUCGGUAUUCCGGGAGGCACGCCUGUUCGAGCGCCAUUACGAACCCCAAGCUUGGCUUGAUGUUGGGCGAUGUCUUUCUCUGUGGAGGGAGACACGCCUGGAACGCGUUGACGCCGCCGGCGGACCACGAGCGUAGCAGUGACGAAAGUCGAUCGCAUCGAUGGAAACCGACGGAGGGCAGUCUUGACGUUUGUCGUCUACGGACGACGGACACACACACACGAGUUUGGCCUCGGAUCAGGCGGGGAUACCCGCUGAACUUAAGCAUAUCAAUA
This 633-nucleotide ribosomal RNA is filed under the name fungal endophyte. Its description in RNAcentral is "eukaryotic LSU rRNA". The stretch from base 242 to 394 matches the Rfam family "5.8S ribosomal RNA". The record is from RNAcentral. Lineage: Eukaryota; Fungi.